Long non-coding RNA from Homo sapiens (human), 2951 nucleotides. The record is from Ensembl. NCBI's taxonomy places the organism in Eukaryota, Metazoa, Chordata, Mammalia, Primates, Hominidae.
GGACAGAUUUAGUUUCUUGCAGAACACAAUUCCGAAAUCUUGAGCUCCACACCCCAUCUGUCCCAACGGCACCUGCAGGUUCGUCUUCCUUUCUGAGUUACUCGUUUUCACAGUUCAGCUCUUACAACAAGGAGAGAUAUUUUAACCAAGACAAUCAACGUAACAGCCACAGGAUAUUGAAAAAAAAGUCUUCUUCCAAAAUCAUCCAGUCUUCCCUCCUCUAUGAAUACUUGCAUCUUGUUUCUCCAUCAACAACAGAUGUUUGAAGAGAACCAGCAGCCAGUCCAAUCCCCUGUGAGAUCUCUGAAGCAUCAGCAAAAAGGAAAAAAGAAAUGACAUCAGAUGACCUCUAUGAGCUACUCAUUUCUGACUCUUGGCAUGAAACAAUGGAGAGUAGAGGCUCCACCUCAUCUUAUUCUAGACCUUUCUAGGGUGACUGUGUUUAAGUACCAGUUUCUUCCUCAGUCCUCAAGGGUAUAUCACAGCCCGAAGAAAAACCCAAACAGAAUAAACAUGGAAAAGCUGGUCGGAAGGUACUGUGGGUUUGGAGAGCGUUAACCAUCUCACCGUUAAUCACCAUGGGAGACUGAAUUUUCUUCUGUUGAAGACCAAAAUUGCAACAAAACAAAACAAAACAAAAAUCCAAGCAGUCCUCCAGAGAGGGAAAUCUCAGUUUAAUUGAUGUCACUAGUUAAAAAGGCGCACUGAAGUAUAAGAAGAAAAUAAGAUUUUUGCUCAGGCUGCUUAAGAUUUUCUCUGGAUGAAUAAGAACAUUGUUUACUGAUGAAUUCCAGCUACAUAAUUUGCUCCAACUGAUGAUAAACAUCUUACAUGAAUGGUGCUGGCUUCCUCCUUCUGAAUACCACGUGAGUCCUUUAGAAAUAUGAGAGAGGCGAACCAAGCAGUCAUUUAAAGAUUAGCCAAGAUAAAUGAUCAAACAACCAAUUCAGGGCAAUGGAAGAAAGGCAGUCUGGAUUAUUGAACAGUUUAUAGAAACAGUUGCAUAUCAAUUUUGAAAGUAUACACUGUUCUGUUAAUGGAGGAAGGCUGCUAGGUGGAUUGCUUUAAUCAACAUAUUGGAAACUAUUUGGAGACUACAUGAAUACAUUGCAUGAGGCCAUGGGAGCAAUUUCUUCUACACAUGUUAAGCACAGUCUCUGUAAUAGUAGUGUUAGUAAUAGUAGUAGUGUUAACUAUUAUUGUGUGUGUUCUUCUAUGUAAUAAUAGUGUUAACUAUUAUUAGUAACAGUAGUGUUAACUAUUAUUAGUAACAGUAGUGUUAACUAUUAUUAGUAAUAGUAGUGUUAACUAUUAUUGUGUGUGUUCUAUGAAAACAUGCAGUAUACUUCACAGUAUACUAUAUAUUUGACUCCCUCAUAUACUGUCAGUUAUUUUAGCAUCUAUAUGAUUUGGGAAGUAUGCAUAGUCCAAAUAUGUUCUCUGAUUGGCUAAGAGAUGAGAGGGAAGUCAUUUAAUAGGGGCAGCAAGAAGGGGAAAGAAUGAGUGGAGAGAGAGGAAAAUUAGGACACAUAGUUGGCUCCAGAAUGUGCAGCAUAUAGUUCAUUGCCACAACCACCAAAUAUUCAGCAAGUCUGAUGAAAAUCAUGAAAUGCUUUGUAUGAGCUAGCAGUCACCAUAGUAAUGUUGUAUAACAAAUGACUCUAAAAUUGAGUUUUGCCUAUCUUGACUGGGAUUAGCUUAAUGAUUUUUCUGGUCUUGCCUGAGGCCCAUUCACGUGUCUGGCAGGUAUUUACUGAAUGGUUGGCUGACAUGGUAGAACCUCAGCUGGGAAGUCCAGCUCUGCUGCCCAUGGUCUUGUUUCCAGAGUGGCCUGGCCCAGGCUUAGGUUCAUGUUGGAGGCUGAAUACUGAGAGGGGAAGCAGAAACAUUCAAGAUCUCCUGACACCUGGGUGCAUUCAGGUUGCAUUGUCAGUCCACUUUAUUCUGUAGACCAAAGCAAGUCGCAAGGUCACACUGAAGUCAAGGGGUGUAAAAACGUUGGAAAUUAGAUUCUCAAAAAGUCAAUGGUUGAGGGUUAGGAAGGAGCAGGGAGGCAAUAAUUCCCCUGUUUGUCUGGCCUGCCCUGUGGGUGGGGAGCUCUCAGCAGCUUGAGAGGAGCAGGAGAGAGGCAGAGAACUGAGAGUACUGUCAGCCAGAAGCUGGCCAGAGCAAACCGGAAUGGGCAGUGACAGCCUGUGAAACAUCUGCUGUAUAUGCCUGUACCUCUCUGUUGUAUCUGCCUGAAGACCUCCCUCUACUUCGUUUGCUCGGCCUACUUUGAAUUGCCCUGAGACUUCAGAUUAAAUUCUAAGGAAUAUCUUUCCGCCCUGGAUAUUCUGGUUUUUGCCUGUGCUGUAAUAUCUGAGUUUCUUGACUCUCUCACAACACUGCUCAUACUGCCAUUUAAUUGCCUGUGUGUUUGACUGUGGUCCAACUUAGGCAAUCCCCAAUUAAAAGCAGGAGUUUUCCUAUGUUGUUCGCCACCGCUGAGUUGCAUGGUGACUGGCACAUAGCAGGCACACAAUGGAUAUAUUUUUAAAUUUUAUUUUCUUCUGGUAAAAACACGUAACACGAGAUCCACUCUGUUAACAAAUAUUUAAGUGUAUAAUAAAAUACUGUAAAGCCCAGGUACAGUAUUUGAUGCAUUCUGAAUAGCAUUUAGCCAAGUUUUCCAGCACAUAUCUAAACUCAAUUUUAUGACAAGCCUGAGUUAAAUUUCCCACUAGAUUCUGAAUAAAGAGUUCACAUUUUCUCAUCAGGCAUUUUACCUACAUGAAUUUUGGAAAAAGCGUCUUCUGUCUGUUGGGUACAGAAACCGCCUUUCAGGACAAUAAAAUGGAAAUUGUGGAACAGCCAGAAAUCAAGCAGUAAGAAGACAAACUUCCCCCUAAAAAUUUGAUUUCUAAAAAUGUGUGCAUUGUAUGUCUCCCUGUAUUAACUAAUUCAUGGAA